Molecule: ribosomal RNA, 465 nt
Filed under: Vreelandella stevensii
Lineage: Bacteria; Pseudomonadati; Pseudomonadota; Gammaproteobacteria; Oceanospirillales; Halomonadaceae
Description: partial 16S ribosomal RNA
Rfam family: Bacterial small subunit ribosomal RNA
Source: RNAcentral
CCUACGGGGCGCAGCAGUGGGGAAUAUUGGACAAUGGGCGAAAGCCUGAUCCAGCCAUGCCGCGUGUGUGAAGAAGGCCUUCGGGUUGUAAAGCACUUUCAGUGGGGAAGAAAGCCUUGGGGCUAAUACCCUCGAGGAAGGACAUCACCCACAGAAGAAGCACCGGCUAACUCCGUGCCAGCAGCCGCGGUAAUACGGAGGGGGCGAGCGUUAAUCGGAAUUACUGGGCGUAAAGCGCGCGUAGGCGGUCUGAUAAGCCGGUUGUGAAAGCCCCGGGCUCAACCUGGGAACGGCAUCCGGAACUGUCAGGCUAGAGUGCAGGAGAGGAAGGUAGAAUUCCCGGUGUAGCGGUGAAAUGCGUAGAGAUCGGGAGGAAUACCAGUGGCGAAGGCGGCCUUCUGGACUGACACUGACGCUGAGGUGCGAAAGCGUGGGUAGCAAACAGGAUUAGAUACCCCAGUAGUC